AGCAGCCGCGGUAAUUCCAGCUCCAAUAGCGUAUAUUAAAGUUGUUGCAGUUAAAAAGCUCGUAGUUGAAUUUCGGGAUUGACACAUCGGUCGUGCCUUAAGGGGUAUGAACUGGUGUAGUCAAUUUCUCACCUUCUGGAGAACCGCGAUGCCCUUAAUUGGGUGUCGCGGGGAACCAGGACCUUUACUUUGAAAAAAUUUAGAGUGUUUAAAGCAGGCAUUUUGCUUGAAUACAUUAGCAUGGAAUAAUAAAAUAGGACGGCAUGAUUCUAUUUUGUUGGUUUCUAGGAUCACCGUAAUGAUUAAUAGGGAUAGUUGGGGGCAUUAGUAUUCAAUUGUCAGAGGUGAAAUUCUUGGAUUUAUUGAAGACUAACUACUGCGAAAGCAUUUGCCAAGGAUGUUUUCAUUAAUCAAGAACGAAAGUUAGGGGAUCGAAGACGAUCAGAUACCGUCGUAGUCUUAACCAUAAACUAUGCCGACUAGGAAUCAGACGAUGUUAAUUUUUUUAAUGACUCGUUUG
Molecule: unclassified non-coding RNA, 520 nt
Filed under: uncultured Glomus
Lineage: Eukaryota; Fungi; Glomeromycota; Glomeromycetes; Glomerales; Glomeraceae
Description: SSU rRNA
Rfam family: Eukaryotic small subunit ribosomal RNA
Source: RNAcentral